Molecule: ribosomal RNA, 465 nt
Filed under: Bacillus cereus
Lineage: Bacteria; Bacillati; Bacillota; Bacilli; Caryophanales; Bacillaceae
Description: bacterial SSU rRNA
Rfam family: Bacterial small subunit ribosomal RNA
Source: RNAcentral
GAUGAACGCUGGCGGCGUGCCUAAUACAUGCAAGUCGAGCGAAUGGAUUAAGAGCUUGCUCUUAUGAAGUUAGCGGCGGACGGGUGAGUAACACGUGGGUAACCUGCCCAUAAGACUGGGAUAACUCCGGGAAACCGGGGCUAAUACCGGAUAAYAUUUUGAACUGCAUGGUUCGAAAUUGAAAGGCGGCUUCGGCUGUCACUUAUGGAUGGACCCGCGUCGCAUUAGCUAGUUGGUGAGGUAACGGCUCACCAAGGCAACGAUGCGUAGCCGACCUGAGAGGGUGAUCGGCCACACUGGGACUGAGACACGGCCCAGACUCCUACGGGAGGCAGCAGUAGGGAAUCUUCCGCAAUGGACGAAAGUCUGACGGAGCAACGCCGCGUGAGUGAUGAAGGCUUUCGGGUCGUAAAACUCUGUUGUUAGGGAAGAACAAGUGCUAGUUGAAUAAGCUGGCACCUGACG